AAAAACCAAUUUGACCCAUUUUUCUUUGAAAUGAUGGGGCGGCUAAGCUGUUUAUUUUGAUAACAAAGUAAGAGUUGCUUUUAUUUGAAAUGUUAAAUUGUUUUGGUAGACUUAUUUGUAAUCAAAAUAGCAUAUCCGCCUAUUUUUCUGAACUUCAAAACUCUCAGCAUCUCACAGACAGGCAGAGUAUAGUUUCUGUGUAAAAGAUGGUGUCGAACUGUGAGAUUGAGAGUAUGGGCAGUAAUAAUCAAGAACGGCGCCGUGUGGGGCUGAUAUACGAUGAGAGAAUGUGCAAACAUUCGACCCCGGAUGAUGAGGACCAUCCCGAAAACCCCAAUCGCAUAAAAGUAAUCUGGGAUAAGCUCAAUGCAUCUGGAAUUGCUCAAAGGUUCUUUAAAACUCACGCGUUUGUGUUUUCCAUUUAGCCUUUUUAUUUUUUUAAACUGUAGUUGACUAUUAACGUAGAAUUCAGUGAUAAGAAGGUAAAUUAUGCAAUUGGAUUUUCAACUUCUACUUCGAGAGAAUGAAAUAAAUUUAUGUUAUUUAGAUUUUAGAGCAUGUUUUUCGUUGCUUCAAUCUACAAAAGAAGAGGCUGUUUUACCACUAUUGGCUAAAAAAAUUAUCUUCUACAGGCAGCAAGACCCUUCUUACUGCGGAAAGAAGCAAGUUUUUGGCUAUUUUCUUAGUGUUUCAACUGAGCCUCUCUCAUUUCCUUCUUGAAAAAGAAUAAUUGGUUGCUGAUAUAUGUUCUGCUUCUCUCCCCUUUCUUCUUCCCUUUUUCUUUUUUUUUUUCUUUUUAUUUUUUUUUAUUUGUGGGGGUAUGCUGCUGGGUUGUGGUGGUGGUGGUGGUGGUGUGAGAUUAUGCUGCUGGGUCAAUAAAAUUGAACCCUGUUGUUGUUUCUUUUUUAUACUUUUAAAUUUUUGUUCACAAUCCAAAUUUCAAAUAUUUCUUGAAAAGGGGGUUUAGAAGGACAAUGUUAUACUUUGUAGUUUAGAAUAAUUUAACUAUCUUUUUCCUUUAAUGUCUACUUUUUAUGUAUUUCUCCUUUUGUAUUGUAUAAAGUUGUGAGUAAUAUUUGGUUUGAAAUACUCUUCAAAUACUGUACUGUAAUUGUAUACUGGUCUCAUCAUUUGCCAAGAGGUUUGCUUUUGACCUAGCCGCGUUUUUGCUUUUCCAGAUGUGUUGUUUUGGAUGCUAAGGAAGCAGAAGAUAAGUAUUUAGCUUUGGUCCACAGCAAAAAUCACAUCGAUUUGAUUAAGAAUAUUAGUUCCAAAAAGUUUGAUUCGCGGAGAAAUAAGACGGCAUCAAAAUUUAACUCUAUUUAUUUCAAUGGAGGCUCAUCAGAAGCUGCUCAUCUUGCUGCAGGUUCAGUUACAGAGGUAAUUAGAAAUAAACAUUAGACCUACUGUGGUCAUUUUGUUCAAAUGUGUGUGGCUAUAGGAAAUCAUCCAUUUUAGCCAAUCAGUGAAAACUAUCAACUUACAUCUAAUGUAGAUUCAAUUGUGUCAUUUGAAUGCCUUCUUGUAUUCAUAUUUGGCUGUCCAGUUAGCAGUUUGGCUCUUGCUAUGUGUUGCUGUGUUCCCAUUGUCAACUUCUACAUACCAAAGUGGUGCAAUUGCUUUAGUUUUGAAAAAUUUAACUGUUGAAACCUUGUAACAUAGGUUGCUGAGCAAGUUGCGAAAGGAAAAUUGGAUUCUGGUUUUGCUAUUGUCAGACCUCCAGGACAUCAUGCCGAAGAAAGUGAACCAAUGGGAUUUUGCCUGUACAACAAUGUUGCUAUUGCAACAAGUUUUCUCUUAAAUGAAAGAGUGAGAGUUAAUUUGAGUUAUUGGGAUCUAAUUUUAUUCGCCUUUUUCAUCAGUUAGUAUAUGAAAAUUCCCUGUUUUUGCACAUUCCUAUCAUUCAGCUUUAAUGUGUACCACUCUUCACACUGUAGCCAGAGUUGGGUAUCAAGAAAAUCUUGAUUGUUGAUUGGGAUGUACAUCAUGGAAAUGGUACUCAAAAAAUGUUCUGGAAGGAUCCUCGAGUGCUUUUCUUCUCUGUGCAUCGGUACGUGAACACUUUUAUAUUUCACUUCAUCAGUGUUUUUUUUUUUUUUUUUUUCCAGUUCAACAAUAGCAACUCGUUCUGAACCUUCCUCGACAAAAGUUGAAUUUGUUUGUUUCUUUUAUUAGCUAAUCAUUUUGUUUAACUUUAGUAUGUUUUCUGCUUGUUGAAAGGAAUAUAGGCAUUUAGGGAUGGUUGCUUGCCUCAAGUUGAUAAAGUAUUUAUUUAGUCUCCUGCAUUUUUUCUUCAAUAAUGAAACUUAGUGAGUAAUCGGGUUAUAUAAACUCUUCAAUCCAAGUUCUGCUAGCAUUGGCAUAUAAUAAAUAACUUGAAGAUUAUUUUGGUCAUAUUGAGAGAAAGAAAUUGUUUGUUUCAACUAGGCACGAAUUUGGGAGUUUCUAUCCAGGUGGUGAUGAUGGGUCAUAUACCAUGAUUGGAGAGGGUCCUGGCACGGGAUACAAUAUUAAUGUUCCUUGGGAGAACGGUAGGUGUGGUGAUGCGGACUAUCUUGCAGUUUGGGACCAUGUUUUGAUUCCUGUUGCUAAGGAAUUUGAUCCCGACAUGAUUAUUAUCUCUGCGGGGUUUGAUGCAGGUUAGCUAAACUUCUCUUAACUGAUUAUGUCUGGAUAUUGUAGUCUACUAUGUACACAUGCAUCUCAUAAACUAACAGCAAUUUUAUAGAAUUUUAGGCAUGCAAGUGAGAUAGAAAGAGUAAAUAUUUGCACGCAAUUUUUAUUUUUAUUUAUUUAUUUAUUAUUAUUAUUAUUAUUUUGUGGCUAAACUUGAAUUAUCCUUUGACAACCUUACUAAUUGGAAGGGGCUUAGUGAAAUGAAAUCAUGUGUUUGAGAAUCAACUAGUAGGUAGCAAGUGCAUGUACUCCUACUUUAAUGACUCCCUAGUGGCGAGGAAGUUUAGAUUCCCCAUUGGAUGGUCCUCCAAUUGCGUGUUCCGACUAAUUGUAUCUUUCUUGUGCAUAGGAUGUCUUAUUCUGUGUCUUCCUUUUUCCAGGUUAGAUGUAGACCUAAUUACUUUUAUCUUUAUGUUACUAAUUGCUAUUUUUCUCCUUGUGUUUUUGAUUCUUUAGGAUAUCAUGCUUAUCUGCAUCUUAUGCCUUUUCUUCAUUGGAUACUAAAGCUUUUAGCUGCGUUGCUAUCAAGCUAAAUGAUAAUUUCAAGACCACGGCAGUUGUUUGAAAAGAGUAGAAAGUGAACGUCCCCCAACAUCGAAGGAUAAUGCCUAUGAAAAGUUAUUUGAUAAUCAAACUCUACCGAAUAGCUUGACUAUGUAGAAGUAAUAAGCCUUUUUGUUGAAUUAAUCCUUUACAUGGACUCUUUUGGUGAAACAAAGUAAAAUGACAGGAGAAGUUUUUGGACCAAACAUGGGUGCAGUGACAGCAGAUGAGGAGUGUGUGCUAAUAUUCAAGCUACACUAUCUAUAAAAUCCUGCUUACAUAAUAUUCACACUAAAUUCUGGAAUUUUGAAUCUCACUAGGUUAACUUACAUGAUAAUUGCUUGAAUUCUCACCAUAGUUCCGGAGUAUUCUAAUACAUUUCUUUGUUCAAGAUGUUCAUUUGCAAUUGAAGGGUUUUCUUCUUUCAGCUCUAAUAUCCAUUGAAACUAAUGGCGCUUUGAAUGAAGGCUGAUUGAUGACUUUUAAUGCUUAUGAUUGAUUUAAAUAGCCAUUGGCGAUCCUCUUGGGGGCUGUCGUGUUAGUCCAUAUGGGUACUCUAUCAUGCUGAACAAGGUAAGCACUAGAAUUUUUUUUUUUUUUUUGAAAACAAAUUCAUUUUCCCCUUUUUUAGCUAAUUUUCAACUUAUUUCUAUAUCUUUCAUUCCAAGAUCCAAUUUCAUACUUAACUCUAGUUUGCUGGAAUGCAAAUCCAUAAAUUUUCUGAAGUCAGAUUUCAAAGAAUAUUUAUUUUCUUUCUUUGAUGCUUUACCUAGUUGAUGGGGUUUGCCUCCGGUAAGAUUGUUAUGGCACUUGAAGGAGGAUAUAAUCUUGAUUCAUUAGCAAAUUCAGCCCUAGCUUGUGUUCAAGUGUUGCUACAACAUAAACCAGUUGCUGGGUCUUCAGAGGCUUAUCCGUUUGAAUCAACGUGGCAUGUGAUACAAGCGGUUAGUGCUACUAACCUUUAAUUUUAUGCAGUUAUAAAACUAAUUUGGUUUUUCAUUCGGUUCAAGAUUACAAUGUAAUAUCAAUUUAUGGUUGCUUAUGAAUGAAAUGUGAUAAAUCUGAUCAGGUACGUAAACUUUUGAGCUUGUAUUGGCCGACACUUCGAGAUAAAAUACCAGAAAAAGUUAUCAGGAGAACACCUCAAAUUGAAGUAAGACUGUCCCUUCCUUUGAAAUUAGCAUCUUCCACUGCUCUUUUGAUUCAAGUUGCUUCUCCUGCACAAUAAGAGGAGUUUUUUCUUGCUAAACAUGAUGAGAGUUUCUGGGUGUCUGUCACCAAGAGAUCUAAUAUAAUCAAUAAGAUGAAACAAACCUACUUUUUUGUUUUAUUUAUAUACUUUAAGCCUGAAAACUCCUUAACAUGUUAUGCAGAUCUUGCACGCCUGUUUUUUCUUCCUGUUGCAUUUAUCUGUUGCAUGUUUGGUCUUUUCCCAUUCAACUUAAUAGGCUCCUUAAAUUCUAUACUCUAUUAGCACUCUCAUAAUGUUAUUCUUUUAUUAUAGAUCUUGAGCUCUGAUUCUGAGGGAGAGCAUGAUAAAGGUCUAGUUGUUGAGAAAGAUCUCGACACGGCUGCAGAGGAUGUUACAGAAACUCUUAAAAACUUGCAAGUAAAUGAAAAAUGUCAAGGUAACUGAUCAUUAUUCUCUUUCUAUUUUGUUCAGAAAAGGUUUUUUACAAGUUGUAAAAUAUUGUUUCCAUCAUUGUUGACUGCGGCAGGUCAAGCUACUGCAGUUUCUCCUUCUUGGAGGUCUGAGCUCUCUAAGAUUGACAUCUGGUAUGCAACUUUUGGAUCCAAUAUGAACAAAUCAAGGUUUGACUGCUAUAUUGAAGGUGGACAGGUAAAAUAGCUCUAAAUAGCCUUGAUGUCUCUUUCAUGGACUUUUGAGAUGUCUUGUACAAAUUUAAAGCCCUUGAAACCUUCUAGUUUUGAUUCAGUAUCACGUGUAGUGUAGCUCAUGAAAUUCGACAUCCUCUUAUUUUUUAAGCCAGGUUGGAGUGACUGUUUAAAUGCUGAUACUGAGCUUUUUAAUUUACCAUCAUGUUUUGUUUGCCUUGGACUUAGCCUGACUGUUAAGUUGUUCAUACUACAUUAGACUGAAUGAUUUUUAUCCAGUAACAAACUCAAUGUAAGCUACUCAACUGUAGUAACUCCUCCAUUAUCCAAACCACUUCCCUCCAGCAUGAGAUUUGGGACUGCCUGGAGUCAAGUUUCGAAGACAAUUCAAGCAACCCUUGGUUUGCAGUACCGAAUUUUGAGGCAUUCAUUCAGUUUGAAUAUGCCAUUUACUCCUUUCUUCACUGGCUUGAAAUUUAAAGGAAAACCUAAUAUGUGUCUCUUAAAUUUUACAUUCUCCAGCUUAUGGAAACAUCUUUACAUUAUUCUUUAUUUAUAAAUUCAUAGAGUUGUUAAAUUAGACUGUUUACACUUUCUUUAAUCUCUUUAUCCUUCCUUAUCUGCAUAUUGUGAAAUGACUUCUAGACUGAAGGAAUGCAAAGACUAUGUGUUGGUUCAAUGGAUAAAAGCCAGCCCAAGGAGAUUAUGUGGAAGACAUUCCCCCAUCGAUUAUUCUUUGCUCGUGACGAUACGGCUACAUGGGGUCCUGGAGGUGUUGCUUUUCUGCAUCCUGAAAGUGAUAUUCAAGAGAAAACUUACUUGCGUCUGUACAAAAUUACGUAUGCAAUCUCUUCCUCUUUCUAUCUUAAAAGUUCAUUUUCUGGUUCAUUUGAUUGGUUUUCAGCUAAGAAGCUAAAUGAAUUAAAGAGCAUCCUAAGCUAUUCAACAUUUCAUUGUAUAAUUGAAAUGCUGAUAUGGUCCUCAUCUAUCUUUUGUCAAACUGCACCGCUUAAAUUAAUAUGAAAAGGCAUAUUUAGUUUCAGGCCUAAAAUGGUGCACCUCAUAAUCUUACAGGGAAUUUAUGCUAAUCCCUGUAGUUGUUGAUUUCAAAUUUUCUUCUUUGUUUAUCUAUUUAUUGUUUAUUGUAUUAUUACAGGCUAGAGCAAUUUAAUGACGUGUUGCUUCAAGAGAAUGUUUUGAGUGGUGAAAUGACUUGUUCAUUAUUUGAUUUGACAUUUUUACAAACUAUUGAAACAGAAAAGUGCAUCUCAGUGGAGUUAGUCCAGGUAUGUGGUGAAGCCUUGUAUGCCAUUUUUUACAUCCAUACUAAAAUCUUACUUGCUGUUGGUUUUAUAGGACAGCGUCCUUUUGUGAUAAUCAUAAUUCAGUUUUCAGGACAAAAAAGUUGACGGAUAGAUAAUAUUUGAUAGAGGCUCAUACUUGUUAAAUUUGGUUUCAACCCUUUUUCUCUGGAUGAAUCAGUAUCUUAUCAGGUAAGUUGAUGGAUGAAAUAAGUGUACAAGAAUUAAAAUGCUGUCCUGAACAACAAAACAAAUCUGCUAGUCGAGACAGAGAGUGGACUGAGAAUUUCAAAUUGGAGGAAGAAAGGCAAAAAGCAUCUAAUCCUCUGUAAACGAUUCUCUGAACCAUCAAAAGUCCAUUCAAUUCUUCUCCUUCUGUAGCAGUCACCGAACACAUAACCGACGAGAGUAUUUUGUACAUUCUUAGUAAUGAUAUACAAGCUUAUUUCUAUACAAUAUCUUCCUAAAAUAUAGGAACUGACCACUUCUAGAAAUAGGCAUCAAAUAAGUAGGAGAUAAUUUCGAUUCCUCCUACUCUCUUCACUAAAUCUACCUAAAUCUGUCCGCAUUCCUCUCAAAUUGGCUCAAAAUAUCUUGCAUCCUGAUCUUGCUCAUAAUAGUAUCAAGCUGUGCUUUUCAUGGUCCCUUGGUAAGAACUUCUGCCAAUUGUGUUGGCAGUUCCAUGGGUGGUGGUGGAGGGAGGGGGAGGGGGCUCCUUUUUCUCAUUUUCAUUUUCCCUUUUCUUGUAACUGUUUUUUUGGUAAUAAACUUGAGCAUAUCAAAAUACCCUCACAAAAAGAGGUCUCGCAUGUUGAGUGACGAUUUAACUGAAUUUGGCCCCCAUUAAUUUCCAUUCCAUUACAUUUCGUUUUUUUCUCUUCUAUUUUUAACCACAUAAUCUUCCAUAAAAUAAUAUUGCACGUUAACCGAAAACCUUUCCUUCUUUUUCAAUCACUCAUUUUUAAAAAAAAAAACACUAUUCUAACCAUUUUCAUUUCCACAAAAUGGGGGCUUGGAUUCUUCCGUCUUAUUGGACUGACACCAAAAAUUGAAGGUUUUGGGUUUUUUUAUUUUUAUUCUUUUAUUUUUUUAUGUACAUAUUUUACCAGUACAUUUCAAAUGAAUGGAGAAUAAGGUUAGGUUUCGAACAGUAUCUCAGAAGAUAGGGAUUGAUGAUAAGAAUUUGAUUUAAAUAAGAUUUCAGUGUUUCUUUCUAAGAUAGAAUUUUAUCAUUUUAAUAGUUGUUAUUUACGAUAAGUUCUAUACUUUAUAAAUAGGAUGUAUGAACAUUCGCUUGUAUUUGAACUAUUAUUAUUGAUGUUUGAUAAUUAAGAUUGAUAUUUAAUUACAGAUUUUCCCCUUCAAAUUGUCUGCUCGUCUCUCUGUUUAUCUUUCUGUGUUAAGUACCCAUCACUUGUGGACCUGGAACAUUUCAUUUACUUGUACUAACUUUUGAGUGAUGUCUCUGCAUUCAUUAAUUUGUACAAUUACACUGUUAUAUAUACCCAUUUUUUUUCUAUUUAAUGCAGAGAGGAUGGUACCAUAAUGUUGUUUACUUGGGAAAGGAGAACAAUAUUCCAAUUCUAACAAUGACGUAAGCAUAUAUGCCUACCAUCUCUAGCAUUAUUAUGAAAGAUUCGAGUAGUAUAGUUUAUUUAUCAUAUUUUAACUGAUAUGAAUUCAGGUGCACUCUUUCGGAUAUUGAAAACUUCAAGUCUGGUAAAUUGCCUGUAAAAUCACCUGCCAAAGCGUAUGCCAAUACCUUGGUUAAAGGACUUGUAGAAGGAAAACAGCUGUCGGAAGCGGAAGCAAUAGCAUACAUAGAGGAAGCAUCUACAAAGCCACUAUAAAUUCUGUUGCUCGCUCUCAUUUAAAAUUCUUCACCGUCUUUUGUGUAACUUAGAGAUGCUCAAGCUGUAGCAUUUCUACUCCAUUGCAACACUCAAGGUGUGAUUUAGGAAAAUCUCCUGUUUGAUGCUUUCAAACUGAUUUACUGUUGCAUAAGUUAUUUUGCUGCUUUGAAGAUAGAUUGCUGUUAAGUGUUGCAUCCAAGAUCUGGUGUUUCUGGUGCAUGUGAUUAUUUACUGGAUAAGUUGCAUCACGAACGUCCAACAUAUGGUUUAUCUAGUGCAUAUGUGAUGAUUUUGGUUUAUUAAUAUCAAUAUAUUUAUACUACUGCAUAUUCAAUGAGCACG
RNAcentral lists this long non-coding RNA (8551 nucleotides) under Olea europaea subsp. europaea. The record is from RNAcentral. Lineage: Eukaryota; Viridiplantae; Streptophyta; Magnoliopsida; Lamiales; Oleaceae.